This 76-nucleotide transfer RNA is filed under the name Polaribacter sp. Its description in RNAcentral is "tRNA-Met". It matches the Rfam family "tRNA". Rfam says of the family: Transfer RNA (tRNA) molecules are approximately 80 nucleotides in length. The record is from RNAcentral. Lineage: Bacteria; Pseudomonadati; Bacteroidota; Flavobacteriia; Flavobacteriales; Flavobacteriaceae.
GUAGCAAAGGGAUUGAAGUGGUUAGAGCAUCUGACUCAUAAUCAGAGGGUCCUUGGUUCGAGCCCAAGUGGGACCA